UUGGCAGAACCAGCCAAUGCUGCACAGAAACAUGCCAGCCUGCAACCUGUUACUGAGUGGGGCCAUCCACUUUUCAGGUUGCAUGGCUACCCAGACAAUAAGGAUGUUGAAACUGUUUGGGCUUCAGUGCAUCAGUGCCAGCACCUUCUUCCGCCAUCAACGCCUGUACACAAUCCCUACUAUCGUGCAGGCCUGGCAAAAUGAGCAGGCUGGGAUCAUCCGAGAACUGAAGGAGAUGGGGGGGUGGGCUAAUCCUCUCUGGUGACUGCAGGUCAGACUCUCCUGGCCAUUGUGCCAAAUAUGGCACCUACUCCUUGAUCGAGGACAGAAUAAACAAGGUUUUGGAUCUUCAACUUGUCCAGAGCUCAGAGGUCCCAAGCAGCACCUGGUGUGAACUAGAGGGUCUGAAACGCAGCAUUGACUUCCUUAAGGAGCAACACAUGCAAGUUUCAGCCCUUAUUACGGACAGAAAUCGCCAGGUUGCCAAGUGGGUGCGGGAGGAGUUGUGUCCAGGAGGAACGAGUCAUUUCUUUGAUAUCUGGCAUAUUGGUAAAAGUCUAGGGAAAGCUUUGGAUGCUGCUGCAAAGGAGAGGUGAGGACCUGAAGCUGUGGAGGCCAGCCAUCAUUAAUCACCUGUACUGGACUGCAGCUUCCACUCCUGAUGGAGAUCCAGAUGUGAUGGAAGCCAAGUGGCAAAGUAUGGUGAAUCAUGUUCAGGACAUCCAUGAACACGGCACUCCUGCAUUUCCCUGCUGUGCACAUCCACCUCUGGAGGGAGAAGCAAGGGACAAGGAGUGGCUGGAACCAGCCAUUAAACUGGAGAGGGUGACUUCAAGAACAGCAUUGGUGAAGGAUGUUCGGAAGUUGUCUCCAGACCUAUUCCCUGGAGGCAUUUCACUCCCUCAUCCUCCACUUUGCACCAAAGCACACUGGGUUCUCCUUCCUUGGGAUGUACAGCAGGCUUCUCAUGGCAGCCCUGCACUUUAACCACAAUAGCAGCAGAGAGGUUGCUCGAACCAGUGAUGGUGAGGUGCGUUAUGCAGUUUGCUACCCAAGGUUCUGCAAAGGUGGCUGGGUAGUUCGCCCUAUCAAGGAGAAGCCAUCAUACGCAUACGCUGCAGCCCUGAUGGAGUCUCUGAGAGAGGGCUACUCCAGGUCACCAGAGACUCUACGGGAGAGCAGUGCAGUCUUGUCCUCCACUGCCCCUGCCCCCCUUUCCACGUCCUGCCAGGAGAUCGCCAAGGAUGAGGCAGUUGGCCUUUAUCUUGCACGGCAUUCCCGGUUUAACACAGGACAUGAGUGUGAAAGCAGCAGAUUCUGUGGUUCACAGUUUUCAGGUGUCCAUGAUGGAGAGGGAGGUUGUGUGGCUCAGGCUCUAUCUGUUUGGCUACACCUGGAAGCUGCUUGACAUCCUCUCGGAUCCAUUUUCGUCAUGUUUACAUUUAUAUGUAUAAUUUUGUAAUGGUACUCUGUACGCACAACAACUAUAGCAUCUCCAGGGUCUGUCCAGGGACAGGGAUCCCUCGGUUGCUCUUCCUGAGGUUUCUUCCAUUUCCCCCCCCGUUAAAGGGGUUUUUGGGGAGGUUUUCUUUCUCUGUAUGUCGUACAGAUUGUAAAGCCCCCGAGGUAAAUUGUGAUUUGUGAUAUCGGGCUAUAUA
Molecule: long non-coding RNA, 1658 nt
Organism: Trematomus bernacchii (emerald rockcod)
Lineage: Eukaryota; Metazoa; Chordata; Actinopteri; Perciformes; Nototheniidae
Exons: 9
Source: RefSeq, a predicted model, not a curated record